RNAcentral lists this ribosomal RNA (549 nucleotides) under uncultured bacterium. Its description in RNAcentral is "bacterial SSU rRNA". It matches the Rfam family "Bacterial small subunit ribosomal RNA", at positions 355 to 896 of the family's 1533-position model. The record is from RNAcentral.
UAGGGAAUCUUCGGCAAUGGACGGAAGUCUGACCGAGCAACGCCGCGUGAGUGAAGAAGGUUUUCGGAUCGUAAAGCUCUGUUGUAAGAGAAGAACGAGUGUGAGAGUGGAAAGUUCACACUGUGACGGUAUCUUACCAGAAAGGGACGGCUAACUACGUGCCAGCAGCCGCGGUAAUACGUAGGUCCCGAGCGUUGUCCGGAUUUAUUGGGCGUAAAGCGAGCGCAGGCGGUUAGAUAAGUCUGAAGUUAAAGGCUGUGGCUUAACCAUAGUAGGCUUUGGAAACUGUUUAACUUGAGUGCAAGAGGGGAGAGUGGAAUUCCAUGUGUAGCGGUGAAAUGCGUAGAUAUAUGGAGGAACACCGGUGGCGAAAGCGGCUCUCUGGCUUGUAACUGACGCUGAGGCUCGAAAGCGUGGGGAGCAAACAGGAUUAGAUACCCUGGUAGUCCACGCUGUAAACGAUGAGUGCUAGGUGUUAGACCCUUUCCGGGGUUUAGUGCCGUAGCUACGCAUUAAGCACUCCGCCUGGGGAGUACGACCGCAAGGUUG